AGAGGAGUCCUUACGAAGAGAGAGGCAGAGAGUCAGAGCUGGAGACCAGCAUGUGAGAACGGAAGCAGAAGCUGAAGUGCUGGGGGGCCACGAGCUGAGGAAUGCAAGGAGCUUGUAGAAGCUGGAAAAGGCUAGGAACGGAUUCUUCUCUAGAGUGUCCAGAAGGAACACAACUCUGCCAUCACCUUGUUUUAAGUCGAGUGAGACUGAUUUUGGCCUACUGACCUCCAAAACUAUUCUGCAGAGCGUCCACCCAAGAGGCCAGCCAGCUGUUACCCAUCCCUUCCGAGACGGUUGUUUUUCUGAAUUGAGAGAACAUCUGACCAGGCAGUGUUCAGCCAGAGAUGAGGGGUUUCCCAAAGAUGUACUAUGAAGAAGGUACCCAUGGGAGUAUCUGAAAUGAGCACUGCUUCCUGAGACGGUAAGUUUGAGUUGGCAUCUUCGUACAGCUGAACGCUACACUGGGUGCCAGAAGCUAACAAUCUGACUGAGCAGAAAAAGGGAACUGGACAAGGACUGCUGUGACGGGAGGGCUGCCUGACAAGAAGAGGAGCGCGAUCUUGGCCUUGGACUAACAGGAUGCUGAUG
This 588-nucleotide long non-coding RNA is filed under the name Equus caballus (horse). RNAcentral's name for it is "lncRNA (ENSECAG00000046529.1)". The record is from RNAcentral. Lineage: Eukaryota; Metazoa; Chordata; Mammalia; Perissodactyla; Equidae.